UCCUGGGUAGUAUAGUGGGAAUUACACGCUGCCAUGAGAUACGCUAUGAUUAGCGACUGCGAGACCGGGGUUCAAAUCCUUGUCCGGGAG
This 90-nucleotide transfer RNA is filed under the name Sphaerobolus stellatus SS14. RNAcentral's name for it is "tRNA-His". It matches the Rfam family "tRNA". From Rfam's summary of the family: Transfer RNA (tRNA) molecules are approximately 80 nucleotides in length. Their secondary structure includes four short double-helical elements and three loops (D, anti-codon, and T loops). Lineage: Eukaryota; Fungi; Basidiomycota; Agaricomycetes; Geastrales; Sphaerobolaceae. The record is from RNAcentral.